This 500-nucleotide ribosomal RNA is filed under the name uncultured bacterium. RNAcentral describes it as "partial 16S ribosomal RNA". It matches the Rfam family "Bacterial small subunit ribosomal RNA", at positions 30 to 523 of the family's 1533-position model. The record is from RNAcentral.
AUUGAACGCUGGCGACAUGCCUUACACAUGCAAGUCGAACGGUAACGGGUCCUUCGGGAUGCCGACGAGUGGAGAACGGGUGAGUAAUAUAUCGGAACGUGCCCAGUAGUGGGGGAUAACUGCUCGAAAGAGCAGCUAAUACCGCAUACGACCUGAGGGUGAAAGGGGGGGAUCGCAAGACCUCUCGCUAUUGGAGCGGCCGAUAUCAGAUUAGCUAGUUGGUGGGGUAAAGGCCUACCAAGGCAACGAUCUGUAGUUGGUCUGAGAGGACGACCAGCCACACUGGGACUGAGACACGGCCCAGACUCCUACGGGAGGCAGCAGUGGGGAAUUUUGGACAAUGGGCGCAAGCCUGAUCCAGCAAUGCCGCGUGCAGGAAGAAGGCCUCCGGGUUGUAAACUGCUUUUGUCAGGGAAGAAAUCUUCUGGGCUAAUACCCCGGGAGGAUGACGGUACCUGAAGAAUAAGCACCGGCUAACUACGUGCCAGCCGCCGCGGUAA